Molecule: ribosomal RNA, 234 nt
Filed under: uncultured bacterium
Lineage: Bacteria
Description: partial 16S ribosomal RNA
Rfam family: Bacterial small subunit ribosomal RNA
Source: RNAcentral
CGGGGUGAGUAACGCGUGAGGAACCUGCCUCAAAGAGGGGGACAACAGUUGGAAACGACUGCUAAUACCGCAUAAGCCCACGGCUCGGCAUCGAGCAGAGGGAAAAGGAGUGAUCCGCUUUGAGAUGGCCUCGCGUCCGAUUAGCUGGUUGGUGAGGUAACGGCCCACCAAGGCGACGAUCGGUAGCCGGACUGAGAGGUUGAACGGCCACAUUGGGACUGAGACACGGCCCAG